Helianthus annuus (common sunflower) is the source of this 767-nucleotide long non-coding RNA. RefSeq lists it as uncharacterized. The transcript is spliced from 3 exons. The record is from RefSeq and is a predicted model, not a curated record. NCBI's taxonomy places the organism in Eukaryota, Viridiplantae, Streptophyta, Magnoliopsida, Asterales, Asteraceae.
ACAUCAUUCAAACAGAUUUAGGCCAGUUAUUCUAUCGGACCAAAAUGGUCAAGUAUUGGAGGAGUAAAGUUGUCCACAAACAAAUGAUUGAGUUGAACAUGCGAGAAUGUUGAAGCGAUAGAAGCGAUGGUGGAUGGGUGGUCCGGUAAAGGGAGGCAAACCACCAUUUACUACCACAUAAGACUAUCGGGUGUGGGAUCGUGGAAACGAGGUGUGACCCAAGCUGGCGAAAACCAACGUCGUGGAGCACCACGCCGCAUGCGCAUCGAUAUGACUCCACAAGCGUGGUGGGUUGGCGUGGAGAAUUCCACUGUGAAAAAACAUAUGAGUGGUUUUUUCGAUGGUAUUUUAAUAAUAUUUUCAUUCGCCGAUGAAUUUGAUUUUUCUAUAAUAAGUUAAUAACAGUGGUCGUUAAUUUAAAAUAGCUAAAUACACAAUAAAGAAAUAACUAGUUCUCGUUAAUUUUCAUUCACCGAUGAAUUUGUUUUUUCUAUUGUUGGUUUCAAAAUAAAGUAAAUUUUUGGUCUCGUAUACGACUUCAACUCGCAUAGACUCUAGCUCAACUCGUUUAACUUAGUAAAGCUCACAUUCAACAUUUUUCGAGUUCUCUAUCAAAAGUUUGAGCUUGCUUUGGUAUCCCACUUGUUUUGUAUUUUAUAAUUUUUGUAGGUAAAUUAAGUAUUUUCUUUGUAUAUAAGUUUAUGUUUAUGAUUAUAAGUUGUAUAGCAUUAUAGCAUAAAGGAUUAUUUAGCUAUUUUAUAUAAUAA